AGAGUUUGAUCAUGGCUCAGGACAAACGCUGGCGGCGUGCGUAACACAUGCAAGUCGAACGCACAGGGGCAACCCUGUGAGUGGCGGACGGGUGAGUAACACGUGGAUGACCUGGCCGAGAGUGGGGGAUACCGUGCAGAAAUGCGCGUUAAGCCCGCAUACGUCUCUGGAUCGCACCAGAGGGAAAGCCCAUACGGGUGCUCGCGGGGGGGUCCGCGGCCGAUUAGCUGGUUGGUGAGGUAACGGCUCACCAAGGCGACGAUCGGUAGCUGGUCUGAGAGGAUGAUCAGCCACACUGGGAUUGAGAACGGCCCAGACUCCUACGGGGGGCAGCAGUGAGGAAUCUUCGGCAAUGGGGGCAACCCUGACCGAGCGACGCCGCGUGCGGGACGACGGCCUUCGGGUCGUAAACCGCUUUUCUCUGGGACGAGAAUAGGGACGGUACCAGAGGAAGAAGCCUCGGCUAACUACGUGCCAGCCGCCGCGGUAAUAC
RNAcentral lists this ribosomal RNA (493 nucleotides) under uncultured bacterium. Its description in RNAcentral is "bacterial SSU rRNA". It matches the Rfam family "Bacterial small subunit ribosomal RNA", at positions 8 to 526 of the family's 1533-position model. The record is from RNAcentral.